UUCUAUUCCACUGAGUCGAGACUUUGGAUAGUUCACCUGAUUGUAAUACAAAAAACCAAAUCUCACCGCUGGUAAUGGUAGCUGCCAGUUCCAGAAAACUUCUGCCUUGAUGCAAGAGAACAUCAUGAUAUGCCAAGUAUCACACCAGAUGCCACCUCAUCCAUUGUCUUCUUCAGUGGCACAGCCUUUCCAUGAUCUCCAGGAUCUUGUAGAUGUCAGAGACCAUCUCAUCACAGCUGAUGAGGUCCUGGUAGAUGAUCAUGACUAUGGCUGGAGAGAGACUGCAGUGGCACUAGCUUGGCAGCAGCCGGGAGCUCUGAGUGAGAGUGGCACAGCCCCAUAGGUGGGGGUUGGAGGGGGGAGAGAAAGCAAUGUACCUCAACUUUUCAAUGCUAUGUCUAUAAAUCAAUUAAUAAAUAACUUACUAAAAAG
RNAcentral lists this long non-coding RNA (432 nucleotides) under Felis catus (domestic cat). RNAcentral's name for it is "lncRNA (ENSFCAG00000052432.1)". Lineage: Eukaryota; Metazoa; Chordata; Mammalia; Carnivora; Felidae. The record is from RNAcentral.